Molecule: small RNA, 261 nt
Filed under: Microcebus murinus (gray mouse lemur)
Lineage: Eukaryota; Metazoa; Chordata; Mammalia; Primates; Cheirogaleidae
Description: Metazoan signal recognition particle RNA (ENSMICG00000041988.1)
Source: RNAcentral
GCUGGGCAUGGUGGCGCAUGCCUGUAGUCCCAGCUACUCUGGAGGCUAAGGCAGUAGGAUUGCUUGAGCCCAGGAGUUUGAGGUUGCUGUGAGCUAGGCUGACGCCACGGCACUCACUCUAGACUGGGCAACAAAGUGAGACUCUGUCUCAAGAAAAAAAAAAGAAAAGAAAUAGGGUCUCAUUCUGCCACCCAGACUUGAGUGCAGUAGCACAGUGAUAGCUCACUGCAACCUCGAACUCCUGGGCUCAAGCAAUCCUUC